Molecule: small RNA, 332 nt
Filed under: Pongo abelii (Sumatran orangutan)
Lineage: Eukaryota; Metazoa; Chordata; Mammalia; Primates; Hominidae
Description: processed transcript
Source: RNAcentral
UCCAGUGAAAAAGGCGAUUGAGUUGAAGUCAAGAGGAGUCAAGAUGCUGCCCAGCAAGGAUGGAAGCCAUAAAAACUCUGUCUGUUAUCAGCAAGAGUUCAGGAAGUGCAGGAACAGAAAGAGAUCAUGACAAGGAAUGGGAGAAUUUCCCUGACGGCCUCAGGAAACCUGCAAUUUGAUAGUUAAACAGAUCAAGCUCACUCAUUUGAGCUGAUGGGACAUGCUGUGUACAGAGGAGCAUUUGCAGUUACAACAGUUUAUAGCCAUGCAGGAUUGGGCAGUUAAUCCAGAACCAUUAUUUAAUAAAAAGCUGAUUUUUUUUAAAUGUGGAA